This 727-nucleotide long non-coding RNA is filed under the name Mus spicilegus (steppe mouse). Its description in RNAcentral is "lncRNA (ENSMSIG00000030831.1)". The record is from RNAcentral. Lineage: Eukaryota; Metazoa; Chordata; Mammalia; Rodentia; Muridae.
AUUUUUCUUUGCCAGGGGCUUCCUCUUCACACCUGCCUCUUCUUUUACCUCCAGAGUUAAUCUGGGAUGCCUUUCCAGAUUAUCAUCAGAGAGGAACGAAUAAGCAGAGAGCAAAGUAGCAGCUGAGAAAUGUAUCUGCCUAACAGAACCUUCUAAGAGAAAGUGAAAUAGACAAAGGACAAGAGGCCAAGCAGAGAACAUCCCUGGGCUAAUCAGCCAUAGCCAAAAGGUAGGCGUACAGCAGCCAAAGGGCCCUUUCAGAGAUGAGAGUCUAUGGGUUGGACUUGUCUGUAACAACAGCAUACAACUGUGCCUGAAGCUGCCGGCUGCCACAUCAGGGACAUCUCAGGAAUGUUUUGAUCACCAGAUGGGUACCGCACCCCUGACAACCUCUAUAGAAAAUGCUGAAGAGCAUUUUCUUCGGUUCAUAAAGAAGGUCAAAUCCCAUUUGGUCGAUAACUGCACCACAGCUGGAAGGAAGUACCGAGGGGUGAGAGCAGGCUAACAUGAAAAACAAGUAAAAGACAAAGAGUGGGGUCAGCGAGCAGCUUGGAUCAAUGAAGCCCAAACUCUGGGAAAAUGUAUCUCUGGGUGAACCCCAGGCUUCCAGGAAUCAAUCAACAGCCCUUGAAAAAUUGUGUCUUCCAUAAAAAUGUCACCUGAGCCUUCAGUGUCACAAUGAAGGUGCCAAUAGCCAGGCACAAAAUAAAUGGCCCAUUAAUACUCA